GGUUAAGCGACUAAGCGUACACGGUGGAUGCCCUGGCAGUCAGAGGCGAUGAAGGACGUGCUAAUCUGCGAAAAGCGUCGGUAAGGUGAUAUGAACCGUUAUAGCCGGCGAUGUCCGAAUGGGGAAACCCAGUGCAAUUCGUUGCACUAUCGUUAACUGAAUACAUAGGUUAACGAGGCGAACCGGGGGAACUGAAACAUCUAAGUACCCCGAGGAAAAGAAAUCAACCGAGAUUCCCCCAGUAGCGGCGAGCGAACGGGGAGCAGCCCAGAGUCUGAAUCAGCUUGUGUGUUAGUGGAACGGUCUGGAAAGUCCGACGGUACAGGGUGAUAGUCCCGUACACCAAAAUGCACAGGCUGUGAACUCGAAGAGUAGGGCGGGACACGUGGUAUCCUGUCUGAAUAUGGGGGGACCAUCCUCCAAGGCUAAAUACUCCUGACUGACCGAUAGUGAACCAGUACCGUGAGGGAAAGGCGAAAAGAACCCCGGCGAGGGGAGUGAAAAAGAACCUGAAACCGUGUACGUACAAGCAGUGGGAGCACCUUCGGGUGUGACUGCGUACCUUUUGUAUAAUGGGUCAGCGACUUAUAUUCUGUAGCAAGGUUAACCGUAUAGGGGAGCCGCAGGGAAACCGAGUCUUAACUGGGCGUUAAGUUGCAGGGUAUAGACCCGAAACCCGGUGAUCUAGCCAUGGGCAGGUUGAAGGUUGGGUAACACUAACUGGAGGACCGAACCGACUAAUGUUGAAAAAUUAGCGGAUGACUUGUGGCUGGGGGUGAAAGGCCAAUCAAACCGGGAGAUAGCUGGUUCUCCCCGAAAGCUAUUUAGGUAGCGCCUCGUGAACUCAUCUUCGGGGGUAGAGCACUGUUUCGGCUAGGGGGUCAUCCCGACUUACCAACCCGAUGCAAACUACGAAUACCGAAGAAUGUUAUCACGGGAGACACACGGCGGGUGCUAACGUCCGUCGUGAAGAGGGAAACAACCCAGACCGCCAGCUAAGGUCCCAAAGUCAUGGUUAAGUGGGAAACGAUGUGGGAAGGCACAGACAGCCAGGAUGUUGGCUUAGAAGCAGCCAUCAUUUAAAGAAAGCGUAAUAGCUCACUGGUCGAGUCGGCCUGCGCGGAAGAUGUAACGGGGCUAAACCAUGCACCGAAGCUGCGGCAGCGACACUAUGUGUUGUUGGGUAGGGGAGCGUUCUGUAAGCCUGCGAAGGUGUGCUGUGAGGCAUGCUGGAGGUAUCAGAAGUGCGAAUGCUGACAUAAGUAACGAUAAAGCGGGUGAAAAGCCCGCUCGCCGGAAGACCAAGGGUUCCUGUCCAACGUUAAUCGGGGCAGGGUGAGUCGACCCCUAAGGCGAGGCCGAAAGGCGUAGUCGAUGGGAAACAGGUUAAUAUUCCUGUACUUGGUGUUACUGCGAAGGGGGGACGGAGAAGGCUAUGUUAGCCGGGCGACGGUUGUCCCGGUUUAAGCAUGUAGGCUGAUUGUCCAGGCAAAUCCGGAUAAUCAAGGCUGAGGUGUGAUGACGAGGCACUACGGUGCUGAAGUAACAAAUGCCCUGCUUCCAGGAAAAGCCUCUAAGCAUCAGGUAACAUUAAAUCGUACCCCAAACCGACACAGGUGGUCAGGUAGAGAAUACCAAGGCGCUUGAGAGAACUCGGGUGAAGGAACUAGGCAAAAUGGUGCCGUAACUUCGGGAGAAGGCACGCUGGUGUGUAGGUGAAGUCCCUGCGGAUGGAGCUGAGACCAGUCGAAGAUACCAGCUGGCUGCAACUGUUUAUUAAAAACACAGCACUGUGCAAACACGAAAGUGGACGUAUACGGUGUGACGCCUGCCCGGUGCCGGAAGGUUAAUUGAUGGGGUUAUCCGUAAGGAGAAGCUCUUGAUCGAAGCCCCGGUAAACGGCGGCCGUAACUAUAACGGUCCUAAGGUAGCGAAAUUCCUUGUCGGGUAAGUUCCGACCUGCACGAAUGGCGUAAUGAUGGCCAGGCUGUCUCCACCCGAGACUCAGUGAAAUUGAACUCGCUGUGAAGAUGCAGUGUACCCGCGGCAAGACGGAAAGACCCCGUGAACCUUUACUAUAGCUUGACACUGAACAUUGAGCCUUGAUGUGUAGGAUAGGUGGGAGGCUUUGAAGCGUGGACGCCAGUCUGCGUGGAGCCAACCUUGAAAUACCACCCUUUAAUGUUUGAUGUUCUAACGUUGGCCCCUGACCGGGGUUGCGGACAGUGUCUGGUGGGUAGUUUGACUGGGGCGGUCUCCUCCCAAAGCGUAACGGAGGAGCACGAAGGUUAGCUAAUCCUGGUCGGACAUCAGGAGGUUAGUGCAAUGGCAUAAGCUAGCUUGACUGCGAGCGUGACGGCGCGAGCAGGUGCGAAAGCAGGUCAUAGUGAUCCGGUGGUUCUGAAUGGAAGGGCCAUCGCUCAACGGAUAAAAGGUACUCCGGGGAUAACAGGCUGAUACCGCCCAAGAGUUCAUAUCGACGGCGGUGUUUGGCACCUCGAUGUCGGCUCAUCACAUCCUGGGGCUGAAGUAGGUCCCAAGGGUAUGGCUGUUCGCCAUUUAAAGUGGUACGCGAGCUGGGUUUAGAACGUCGUGAGACAGUUCGGUCCCUAUCUGCCGUGGGCGCUGGAGAAUUGAGGGGGGCUGCUCCUAGUACGAGAGGACCGGAGUGGACGCAUCACUGGUGUUCGGGUUGUCAUGCCAAUGGCACUGCCCGGUAGCUAAAUGCGGAAGAGAUAAGUGCUGAAAGCAUCUAAGCACGAAACUUGCCCCGAGAUGAGUUCUCCCUGAGACUUUAAGUCUCCUGAAGGAACGUUAAAGACGAUGACGUUGAUAGGCCGGGUGUGUAAGCGCAGCGAUGCGUUGAGCUAACCGGUACUAAUGAACCGUGAGGCUUAACCUU
This 2902-nucleotide ribosomal RNA is filed under the name Klebsiella pneumoniae. RNAcentral describes it as "23S ribosomal RNA". It matches the Rfam family "Bacterial large subunit ribosomal RNA". Lineage: Bacteria; Pseudomonadati; Pseudomonadota; Gammaproteobacteria; Enterobacterales; Enterobacteriaceae. The record is from RNAcentral.